Molecule: ribosomal RNA, 158 nt
Filed under: Phialocephala fortinii
Lineage: Eukaryota; Fungi; Ascomycota; Leotiomycetes; Helotiales; Mollisiaceae
Description: 5.8S ribosomal RNA
Rfam family: 5.8S ribosomal RNA
About the family: 5.8S ribosomal RNA (5.8S rRNA) is a component of the large subunit of the eukaryotic ribosome. It is transcribed by RNA polymerase I as part of the 45S precursor that also contains 18S and 28S rRNA.
Source: RNAcentral
AAAACUUUCAACAACGGAUCUCUUGGUUCUGGCAUCGAUGAAGAACGCAGCGAAAUGCGAUAAGUAAUGUGAAUUGCAGAAUUCAGUGAAUCAUCGAAUCUUUGAACGCACAUUGCGCCCUGUGGUAUUCCGCAGGGUAUGCCUGUUCGAGCGUCAUU